UACGUAGGUCCCGAGCGUUGUCCGGAUUUAUUGGGCGUAAAGCGAGCGCAGGUGGUUUAUUAAGUCUGGUGUAAAAGGCAGUGGCUCAACCAUUGUAUGCAUUGGAAACUGGUAGACUUGAGUGCAGGAGAGGAGAGUGGAAUUCCAUGUGUAGCGGUGAAAUGCGUAGAUAUUAGGAGGAACACCAGUUGCGAAGGCGGCUCUCUGGACUGUAACUAACACUGAGGCACGAAAGCGUGGGGAGCAAACAGG
This 252-nucleotide ribosomal RNA is filed under the name uncultured bacterium. RNAcentral describes it as "partial 16S ribosomal RNA". It matches the Rfam family "Bacterial small subunit ribosomal RNA", at positions 524 to 776 of the family's 1533-position model. The record is from RNAcentral.